UUCUGGCUGGUUCCAGUUCGUACACGGACUCCUUGCUGUCGUUCGAUUCCGGUCACGUGGCUUCGACGUACUGCCUCGUGGAUCGUCAACUCGUUGGUAGCGAGCCGCGUGGCUUGUUUCGAUAUUCCACCUGUUGCUAUGGGCUUUGGUUGCGUUUAGCUGAUCUCGCAUCUGCGUGGUGACUUCAGGAAACUAUUCAGUCAUGUCAAACUGAAGCUUCCAAUAAUCAACACCGGUGAAACAACGUCAUCUCGGUUAUUGACAUCGGAUACAUCGAGCAAUAUGGAACAUUUGAACAAGACUGUAGCUUAUCCGAGUUCCGAGCCACUACAAUUCCAUUUGACAUUAGUCAUACCGGCUGGAAUAUAAUAUAGAAUUCUGGCUGUCUAA
Molecule: long non-coding RNA, 390 nt
Organism: Topomyia yanbarensis
Lineage: Eukaryota; Metazoa; Arthropoda; Insecta; Diptera; Culicidae
Exons: 2
Source: RefSeq, a predicted model, not a curated record